UACAGAGGGGGCAAGCGUUAUUCGGAAUUAUUGGGCGUAAAGGGCGCGUAGGCGGCUUGGCAAGUGGAUGGUGAAAUCCCUCGGCUUAACCGAGGAACUGCCGUCCAAACUGCUUCGCUUGAGACCGGGAGAGGUGAGUGGAAUUCCCAGUGUAGCGGUGAAAUGCGUAGAUAUUGGGAGGAACACCAGUGGCGAAGGCGGCUCACUGGACCGGUACUGACGCUGAGACACGAAAGCGUGGGGAGCAAACAGG
Molecule: ribosomal RNA, 253 nt
Filed under: uncultured bacterium
Lineage: Bacteria
Description: partial 16S ribosomal RNA
Rfam family: Bacterial small subunit ribosomal RNA
Source: RNAcentral